AUUUAAAUAAUUUAAAUAAAAUAUUGAUUUGUGGUAUCAAAAAUAUGAAUAAGUUCAUUUUAAAUU
This 66-nucleotide transfer RNA is filed under the name Langia zenzeroides. RNAcentral's name for it is "tRNA-His". Lineage: Eukaryota; Metazoa; Arthropoda; Insecta; Lepidoptera; Sphingidae. The record is from RNAcentral.